Molecule: ribosomal RNA, 312 nt
Filed under: uncultured bacterium
Lineage: Bacteria
Description: partial 16S ribosomal RNA
Rfam family: Bacterial small subunit ribosomal RNA
Source: RNAcentral
UUAAGAGACAGCAGCCGCCGCGGUAAUACGGAGGGUGCGAGCGUUAAUCGGAAUUACUGGGCGUAAAGCGUACGCAGGCGGUUUGUUAAGUCAGAUGUGAAAUCCCCGAGCUUAACUCGGGAACUGCAUUUGAAACUGGCAGGCUAGAGUCUCGUAGAGGGGGGUAGAAUUCCACGCGUGUAGCAGUGAAAUGCGUAGAUAUGCGGAGGAACACCGAUGGCGAAGGCAAUCCCCUGGACCUGUACUGACGCUCAUGCACGAAAGCGUGGGGAGCAAACAGGAUUAGAUACCCCUGUAGUCCCUGUCUCUUAU